AUACGUAGGUAGCAAGCGUUGUCCGGAAUUAUUGGGCGUAAAGCGCAUGUAGGCGGUUUGGUAAGUCGGUCGUGAAAAUCCGGUGCUUAACGACGUAUGGAGAUCGAAACUGCUGAAAUUUAGUGCAGGAGAGGAAAGGGGAACUCCCAGUGUUGCGGGGAAAUGCGUAGAACUUGGGAAGAACACCGGUGGCGAAGGCGCCUUUCUGGACUGUGUCUGACGCUCAGAUGCGAAAGCCAGGGUAGCGAACGGGAUUAGAUACCCCGGUAGUCCUGGCCGUAAACGAUGGGUGCUAGGUGUGGGAGGUAUCGACUCCUUCCGUGCCGGAGUUAACGCAAUAAGUACCCCGCCUGGGGAGUACGGCCGCAAGGCUUAAACUCAAAGGAAUCGACGGGG
RNAcentral lists this ribosomal RNA (396 nucleotides) under uncultured bacterium. Its description in RNAcentral is "partial 16S ribosomal RNA". It matches the Rfam family "Bacterial small subunit ribosomal RNA", at positions 523 to 918 of the family's 1533-position model. The record is from RNAcentral.